GCUAAUUUGUGGCAGUCUGUUUGUUGUGCCUAUCUGUGGCCAGCAUCUCCGCUAUAUGUUGCUGAUCGUAGAAUGACGAGAACUUACAAGAGAAAGCCAGGUUCAAGAGAGUACACUGAUUAUUGGAAGCUUGUUGGAAGGACAUACAAACAACCAUCGGUCAUCAUCCUGAUGACAAUCUGGCACCUCAACACUGCCACCAAAGAGGUGAUCCACCCAGAGUCUCUACAUUUUGGUGC
Long non-coding RNA from Schistocerca serialis cubense, 239 nucleotides. RefSeq lists it as uncharacterized. The record is from RefSeq and is a predicted model, not a curated record. NCBI's taxonomy places the organism in Eukaryota, Metazoa, Arthropoda, Insecta, Orthoptera, Acrididae. The transcript is spliced from 3 exons.